GGUAUUAGUUAAAUUAUAACCUUUAAAUUGCAAUUAAAAAUUAAAAAAUAUUUUUUAUACCU
This 62-nucleotide transfer RNA is filed under the name Pseudomyrmex gracilis. Its description in RNAcentral is "tRNA-Ala". Lineage: Eukaryota; Metazoa; Arthropoda; Insecta; Hymenoptera; Formicidae. The record is from RNAcentral.